This 71-nucleotide transfer RNA is filed under the name Urocitellus parryii (Arctic ground squirrel). RNAcentral describes it as "Spermophilus parryii (Arctic ground squirrel) tRNA". It matches the Rfam family "tRNA". Rfam says of the family: Transfer RNA (tRNA) molecules are approximately 80 nucleotides in length. Their secondary structure includes four short double-helical elements and three loops (D, anti-codon, and T loops). RNAcentral also lists the same sequence under 2 other names. The record is from Rfam by way of RNAcentral. Lineage: Eukaryota; Metazoa; Chordata; Mammalia; Rodentia; Sciuridae.
GAGGAUGUGGCUCAGUGGUAGAGUGCUUGCCUAGCAUGUGUGAAACCCUGGGUUUGAUCCCCAGCACCACA